This 67-nucleotide transfer RNA is filed under the name Sylvirana guentheri. RNAcentral describes it as "tRNA-Asn". The record is from RNAcentral. Lineage: Eukaryota; Metazoa; Chordata; Amphibia; Anura; Ranidae.
UGAAGCUCGCUGGAUUGAGUGUUUAGCUGUUAACUAAAAUCUUACGGGAUCGAGGCCCGUCAUACUU